CGGGUCGCCGAAUAGAAAGCCCGGGGUGCGCCCCCAGGCCGCCCAUUCGAGCGCAGCCGCUGCGGGGAGAUCCUCGGCGCGCGGCCCGAGCAGGCGCCCGGGUGCGCGACCGAACAGCCGGACGGCGGCGGGUAGCACCGCAUGGAAGAACAACCACGCCUGCAAACGCGC
This 171-nucleotide ribosomal RNA is filed under the name Kryptoperidinium foliaceum. RNAcentral describes it as "partial Bacterial large subunit ribosomal RNA". The record is from RNAcentral. Lineage: Eukaryota; Dinophyceae; Peridiniales; Kryptoperidiniaceae.